Molecule: ribosomal RNA, 492 nt
Filed under: uncultured bacterium
Lineage: Bacteria
Description: partial 16S ribosomal RNA
Rfam family: Bacterial small subunit ribosomal RNA
Source: RNAcentral
AGUGAACGCUGGCGGUAGGCCUAACACAUGCAAGUCGAACGGCAGCACAGUAAGAGCUUGCUCUUACGGGUGGCGAGUGGCGGACGGGUGAGGAAUACAUCGGAAUCUACUUUUUCGUGGGGGAUAACGUAGGGAAACUUACGCUAAUACCGCAUACGACCUACGGGUGAAAGCAGGGGAUCUUCGGACCUUGCGCGAUUGAAUGAGCCGAUGUCGGAUUAGCUAGUUGGCGGGGUAAAGGCCCACCAAGGCGACGAUCCGUAGCUGGUCUGAGAGGAUAAUCAGCCACACUGGAACUGAGACACGGUCCAGACUCCUACGGGAGGCAGCAGUGGGGAAUAUUGGACAAUGGGCGCAAGCCUGAUCCAGCCAUACCGCGUGGGUGAAGAAGGCCUUCGGGUUUUAAAGCCCUUUUGUUGGGAAAGAAAAGCAGCAGGUUAAUACCCCGCUGUUCUGACGGUACCCAAAGAAUAAGCACCGGCUAACUUCGUG